Molecule: ribosomal RNA, 753 nt
Filed under: uncultured bacterium
Lineage: Bacteria
Description: bacterial SSU rRNA
Rfam family: Bacterial small subunit ribosomal RNA
Source: RNAcentral
AGAGUUUGAUCAUGGCUCAGAACGAACGCUGGCGGCAUGCCUAACACAUGCAAGUCGAACGGGAUCCAGACUUCGGUCUGGUGAGAGUGGCGGACGGGUGAGUAACGCGUGGGAACCUGCCCAAUGGUCUGGGAUAACCGCGGGAAACUGCGGCUAAUACCGGAUAAGCCCGAGAGGGGAAAGAUUUAUCGCCGAUGGAGGGGCCCGCGUCCGAUUAGGUAGUUGGUGAGGUAACGGCUCACCAAGCCUACGAUCGGUAGCUGGUCUGAGAGGAUGAUCAGCCACACUGGGACUGAGAUACGGCCCAGACUCCUACGGGAGGCAGCAGUGGGGAAUAUUGGACAAUGGGGGCAACCCUGAUCCAGCAAUGCCGCGUGAGUGAUGAAGGCCUUAGGGUUGUAAAGCUCUUUUGGCGGGGACGAUGAUGACGGUACCCGCAGAAUAAGCCCCGGCUAACUUCGUGCCAGCAGCCGCGGUAAUACGAAGGGGGCGAGCGUUGUUCGGAAUUACUGGGCGUAAAGGGCGCGUAGGCGGCCGAUCAAGUUAGAUGUGAAAGUCCUGGGCUUAACCUGGGGGACUGCAUUUGAUACUGAUUGGCUUGAAUUCGGGAGAGGAUAGCGGAAUUCCCAGUGUAGAGGUGAAAUUCGUAGAUAUUGGGAAGAACACCGGUGGCGAAGGCGGCUAUCUGGACCGACAUUGACGCUGAGGCGCGAAAGCGUGGGGAGCAAACAGGAUUAGAUACCCUAGUAGUCC